GACAGAGGGUGCAAACGUUGUUCGGAAUUACUGGGCGUAAAGCGAGUGUAGGCGGUUUGGUAAGUCGGAUGUGAAAGCCCCGGGCUCAACCCGGGAAGUGCACUCGAUACUACCAGGCUAGAGUAUCGGAGAGGUUGGUGGAAUUCUCGGUGUAGAGGUGAAAUUCGUAGAUAUCGAGAGGAACACCGGUGGCGAAGGCGGCCAACUGGACGAAUACUGACGCUGAGACUCGAAAGCGUGGGGAGCGAACAGG
This 253-nucleotide ribosomal RNA is filed under the name uncultured bacterium. RNAcentral describes it as "partial 16S ribosomal RNA". It matches the Rfam family "Bacterial small subunit ribosomal RNA", at positions 524 to 776 of the family's 1533-position model. The record is from RNAcentral.